GACGAACGCUGGCGGCGUGCCUAAUACAUGCAAGUAGAACGCACAGUUUAUACCGUAGCUUGCUACACCAUAGACUGUGAGUUGCGAACGGGUGAGUGACGUGUAGGUAACCUGCCUGGUAGCGGGGGAUAACUAUUGGAAACGAUAGCUAAUACCGCAUAAUAUUAAUUAUUGCAUGAUAAUUAAUUGAAAGGUGCAAUUGCACCACUACCAGAUGGACCUGCGUUGUAUUAGCUAGUAGGUGAGGUAACGGCUCACCUAGGCGACGAUACAUAGCCGACCUGAGAGGGUGAUCGGCCACACUGGGACUGAGACACGGCCCAGACUCCUACGGGAGGCAGCAGUAGGGAAUCUUCGGCAAUGGACGAAAGUCUGACCGAGCAACGCCGCGUGAGUGAAGAAGGUUUUCGGAUCGUAAAGCUCUGUUGUAAGAGAAGAACGGGUGUGAGAGUGGAAAGUUCACACUGUGACGGUAUCUUACCAGAAAGGGACGGCUAACUACGUG
Molecule: ribosomal RNA, 505 nt
Filed under: uncultured bacterium
Lineage: Bacteria
Description: partial 16S ribosomal RNA
Rfam family: Bacterial small subunit ribosomal RNA
Source: RNAcentral